UAUGUAGAAUUCAAUCACAUGCGCGCGCAAGCAGCUCGGCUUUCGGUUCUGAGAAGCUCUUAAGGAGCCGCGUCUUUCUCUCCCUGGGUUUCUGAGAUGCCCGGGAGCUCCGAAUCUCGGGCUUUCCGCGCGGCCCUCCUGGGAGGGCCAGAUUCAAAGCUCCAAUUAUCCGCGCGAGGCUGGGAACUGCAUCAUCAGCAUCUCCCGCUAAGCCGGUCCGAACUGGAGGAGGUGGCGGAGGCAGAAGAAGAGGGACCAUCUUUCUCACCUGAGAUGCUCUUCACUAGGAAUUGUCAAUGA
RNAcentral lists this long non-coding RNA (300 nucleotides) under Capra hircus (goat). RNAcentral describes it as "lncRNA (ENSCHIG00010005128.1)". Lineage: Eukaryota; Metazoa; Chordata; Mammalia; Artiodactyla; Bovidae. The record is from RNAcentral.